This 650-nucleotide ribosomal RNA is filed under the name uncultured bacterium. Its description in RNAcentral is "bacterial SSU rRNA". It matches the Rfam family "Bacterial small subunit ribosomal RNA", at positions 202 to 847 of the family's 1533-position model. The record is from RNAcentral.
CAAAGGAGGCGACUCCGGAGACGGAUGGGCAUGCGUGACAUUAGCUUGUUGGCGGGGUAACGGCCCACCAAGGCGACGAUGUCUAGGGGUUCUGAGAGGAAGGUCCCCCACACUGGUACUGAGACACGGACCAGACUCCUACGGGAGGCAGCAGUGAGGAAUAUUGGUCAAUGGGCGAGAGCCUGAACCAGCCAAGUCGCGUGAAGGAUGACGGCCCUACGGGUUGUAAACUUCUUUUGUCAGGGAGCAAUUGGGUCCACGUGUGGGCUUAGCGAGAGUACCUGAAGAAAAAGCAUCGGCUAACUCCGUGCCAGCAGCCGCGGUAAUACGGAGGAUGCGAGCGUUAUCCGGAUUUAUUGGGUUUAAAGGGUGCGUAGGCGGAAUAUCAAGUCAGCGGUAAAAAUUCGGGGCUCAACCCCGUCGUGCCGUUGAAACUGAUGUUCUUGAGUGGGCGAGAAGUAUGCGGAAUGCGUGGUGUAGCGGUGAAAUGCAUAGAUAUCACGCAGAACUCCGAUUGCGAAGGCAGCAUACCGGCGCCCAACUGACGCUGAAGCACGAAAGCGUGGGUAUCGAACAGGAUUAGAUACCCUGGUAGUCCACGCAGUAAACGAUGAAUGCUAAUUGUCCGGAGGGAUUGACCUCUGGGUGAU